GACGAACGCUGGCGGCGUGCUUAACACAUGCAAGUCGAACGGAAAGGCCCCUUUGGGGGUGCUCGAUUGGCGAACGGGUGAGUAACACGUGAGUAACCUGCCCUUGACUUCGGGUGAACUUCAGGAAACUGGGGCUAAUACCUGAUAGGAAUCCUUGCUGCAUGGUGGGGGUUGGAAAGCUUCGGCGGUUUUGGAUGGACUCGCGGCUUAUCAGCUUGUUGGUGGGGUAGUGGCUUACCAAGGCUUUGACGGGUAGCCGGCCUGAGAGGGCGACCGGCCACAUUGGGACUGAGAUACGGCCCAGACUCCUACGGGAGGCAGCAGUGGGGAAUAUUGCACAAUGGGCGGAAGCCUGAUGCAGCAACGCCGCGUGCGGGAUGACGGCCUUCGGGUUGUAAACCGCUUUCAGCAGGGGCGAAGCUUGUGGUGACGGUACCUGCAGAAGAAGCACCGGCUAACUACGUG
This 465-nucleotide ribosomal RNA is filed under the name uncultured bacterium. RNAcentral describes it as "partial 16S ribosomal RNA". It matches the Rfam family "Bacterial small subunit ribosomal RNA", at positions 28 to 507 of the family's 1533-position model. The record is from RNAcentral.